UACGUAGGGUGCGAGCGUUGUCCGGAAUUAUUGGGCGUAAAGAGCUCGUAGGCGGUGUGUCACGUCGGCCGUGAAAACCUGGGGCUUAACUCUGGGCGUGCGGUCGAUACGGGCAUCACUAGAGUUCGGCAGGGGAGACUGGAAUUCCUGGUGUAGCGGUGAAAUGCGCAGAUAUCAGGAGGAACACCGGUGGCGAAGGCGGUUCUCUGGGCAUGUCCUGACGCUGAGGAGCGAAAGUGUGGGGAGCGAACAGG
This 254-nucleotide ribosomal RNA is filed under the name uncultured bacterium. Its description in RNAcentral is "partial 16S ribosomal RNA". It matches the Rfam family "Bacterial small subunit ribosomal RNA", at positions 524 to 776 of the family's 1533-position model. The record is from RNAcentral.